This 96-nucleotide Y RNA is filed under the name Propithecus coquereli (Coquerel's sifaka). RNAcentral's name for it is "Y RNA (ENSPCOG00000003972.1)". It matches the Rfam family "Y RNA". Rfam says of the family: Y RNAs are components of the Ro ribonucleoprotein particle (Ro RNP), in association with Ro60 and La proteins. The Y RNAs and Ro60 and La proteins are well conserved, but the function of the Ro RNP is not known. The record is from Rfam by way of RNAcentral. Lineage: Eukaryota; Metazoa; Chordata; Mammalia; Primates; Indriidae.
GGCUGGUCCGAUGGUAGUGGGUUAUCAGAACUUAUUAACAUUAGGGCCACUAAAGUUGGUAUUCAACCCCCCACUGCUAAAUUUGACUGGCUUAAA